UUAAGUUCAGCGGGUAGUCCUACCUGAUUUGAGAUCGAACGUUCGAAAAGCUGUCUUCGCUGAAGGAGAGACAUCUGUAAGCUCCAGCGAACCUCCAUCACUGAAGGUCACUCGGCAGACGAUCACGAGCGUAGAUAGUUAUCACACCCAUGACGCCACCAAACACUGGUAAGCUGAUUCAUUUGAGAGGAGCUGACCGA
Molecule: unclassified non-coding RNA, 200 nt
Filed under: Thelephora sp.
Lineage: Eukaryota; Fungi; Basidiomycota; Agaricomycetes; Thelephorales; Thelephoraceae
Description: partial internal transcribed spacer 2
Source: RNAcentral